RNAcentral lists this non-coding RNA (97 nucleotides) under Eubacterium sp. RNAcentral's name for it is "SAM-I sequence". It matches the Rfam family "SAM riboswitch aptamer (S box leader)". From Rfam's summary of the family: The SAM riboswitch is found upstream of a number of genes which code for proteins involved in methionine or cysteine biosynthesis in Gram-positive bacteria. The SAM riboswitch acts at the level of transcription termination control. The record is from RNAcentral. Lineage: Bacteria; Bacillati; Bacillota; Clostridia; Eubacteriales; Eubacteriaceae. RNAcentral also lists the same sequence under 1 other name.
AUCUUAUUCAGAGUUGGCGGAGAUACAAGGAUCUGUGAUGCCACGGCAACCCCUAUAUGGAAGGUGCCCACCUGAGCGAGCAAUCGAUCAAUAAGAU